RNAcentral lists this long non-coding RNA (647 nucleotides) under Equus caballus (horse). RNAcentral's name for it is "lncRNA (ENSECAG00000060059.1)". The record is from RNAcentral. Lineage: Eukaryota; Metazoa; Chordata; Mammalia; Perissodactyla; Equidae.
AAAUAUACUAAACAUACUGAACUGCACACUUUAAAUGGGAGAGUUUUAUGGGCUCGCAGUCAAAAUGAACAUUUGCUCAGUGGAUUCAUGACUAGCCUGUUUCAUCAGACGCCAUAUAUGCUGAGGUUAACCAAACUCGUGAGCAAGCAUAUACUUCAAACAAGAUGAGCAAACGACACACACAGCCAGCCACACCCGUGCACUCCUGAUUCAUGGAACCAAGAGGACAAGAAGAUUCUGCAGAGAGACAGGUGGCCUUCCCAGAUCUUCCCCUCCAGAUCUCACCUGAUGCCCUGCUCUCUUUAGAGCUCACCUCCAUGGAAUCUGGACACAGGGCCCAGCCCAUCUUCCUGGUCAAGAGUUAAGCAGUUGAACAGAAACAGAGAAGCAGCAGGUUUGGGGCUUCUGAGGCCAAUCCAAAGGAAGCAGGAGAUGGAGAGAAAGAAGAGGGAAAGAAGAAGAGAGGCAGACAAAGAGAAAGAGACAGAGACAGAGAGAGACAGACAAACAGAGAUACAGAGAGACCGAACCAGACAGAGAUGGAGAGCGAGGCGAGCCCGGGCGACAACAGGGCUGGGGAGCUUUCCUCAGUGGUGUUCUUCAGGUGCAGAGUUUGAAUAAAAAUGCAAAACAGGAUGCUCCCAUUC